GACGAACGCUGGCGGCGUGCUUAACACAUGCAAGUCGAACGGAAAGGCCCUGCUUUUGUGGGGUGCUCGAGUGGCGAACGGGUGAGUAACACGUGAGUAACCUGCCCUUGACUUUGGGAUAACUUCAGGAAACUGGGGCUAAUACCGGAUAGGAGCUCCUGCUGCAUGGUGGGGGUUGGAAAGUUUCGGCGGUUGGGGAUGGACUCGCGGCUUAUCAGCUUGUUGGUGGGGUAGUGGCUUACCAAGGCUUUGACGGGUAGCCGGCCUGAGAGGGUGACCGGCCACAUUGGGACUGAGAUACGGCCCAGACUCCUACGGGAGGCAGCAGUGGGGAAUAUUGCACAAUGGGCGGAAGCCUGAUGCAGCAACGCCGCGUGCGGGAUGACGGCCUUCGGGUUGUAAACCGCUUUCGCCUGUGACGAAGCGUGAGUGACGGUAAUGGGUAAAGAAGCACCGGCUAACUACGUGCCAGCAGCCGCGGUGAUACGUAGGGUGCGAGCGUUGUCCGGAUUUAUUGGGCGUAAAGGGCUUGUAGGUGGUUGAUCGCGUCGGAAGUGUAAUCUUGGGGCUUAACCCUGAGCGUGCUUUCGAUACGGGUUGACUUGAGGAAGGUAGGGGAGAAUGGAAUUCCUGGUGGAGCGGUGGAAUGCGCAGAUAUCAGGAGGAACACCAGUGGCGAAGGCGGUUCUCUGGGCCUUUCCUGACGCUGAGGAGCGAAAGCGUGGGGAGCGAACAGGCUUAGAUACCCUGGUAGUCCACGCUGUAAACGGUGGGUACUAGGUGUGGGGUCCAUUCCACGGGUUCCGUGCCGUAGCUAACGCUUUAAGUACCCCGCCUGGGGAGUACGGCCGCAAGGCUAAAACUCAAAGGAAUUGACGGGGCCCCGCACAAGCGGCGGAGCAUGCGGAUUAAUUCGAUGCAACGCGUAGAACCUUACCUGGGUUUGACAUGGAUCGGGAGUGCUCAGAGAUGGGUGUGCCUCUUUUGGGGUCGGUUCACAGGUGGUGCAUGGCUGUCGUCAGCUCGUGUCGUGAGAUGUUGGGUUAAGUCCCGCAACGAGCGCAACCCUUGUUCACUGUUGCCAGCACGUUAUGGUGGGGACUCAGUGGAGACCGCCGGGGUCAACUCGGAGGAAGGUGGGGAUGACGUCAAGUCAUCAUGCCCCUUAUGUCCAGGGCCUCACGCAUGCUACAAUGGCUGGUACAGAGAGUGGCGAGCCUGUGAGGGUGAGCGAAUCUCGGAAAGCCGGUCUCAGUUCGGAUUGGGGUCUGCAACUCGACCUCAUGAAGUCGGAGUCGCUAGUAAUCGCAGAUCAGCAACGCUGCGGUGAAUACGUUCCCGGGGCU
This 1346-nucleotide ribosomal RNA is filed under the name uncultured bacterium. Its description in RNAcentral is "partial 16S ribosomal RNA". It matches the Rfam family "Bacterial small subunit ribosomal RNA", at positions 28 to 1381 of the family's 1533-position model. The record is from RNAcentral.